UAUCUGCUGAAGAACGGUGCUGUACCCUUCGUAAGACAGCCUCGAGCUGCCCAGAUGCCGGUAGAGAUGUCGUUUGGCUGUCUUCACCGCAGCCUCCCACAAUCCACCGAAAUGUGGAGCCUUAGGUGGAGUAAAGUGCCAGCUCGUGUGACGCACCUUCGAAAUUUUUCCCGUUGUCGGAGUGUAUAUCCGACGGUAGCCCGCGCCGGGCUGUGAAGCGGUGUAAAGCGGCCAAGAACCCUGCAGUGGUGAGAUCGCUGACCAGCUCCAGGUGAACCGCCUUGGUUGCAAAACAAACGAAAACACACAAAUAACAUUUGGCAGCGGCAGCUCUCUUGUACGUCGGCUUAAGAUAAAAUGGGCCGGCGUAAUCCACUCCAGUAAUAGAAAACGGCCGGCUCGGAGUGAUGCGUUGAUACGGAAGUUGGCCGGUUUGUUGUUGCACUAGGGCGGGAUCCUGUCGUAUGCAACGAAAACAAUUACGGACUACUCCUUUCACUAAUCUCCGUCCGUCGAGCGGCCAAUAUUCUUCUCGAAUCUGGGAAAGUAAUAGUCUUCCCCCGCCAUGCAUCAGCUUUUCAUGAAAGUGGUAUGCGAUGAGACGAGCAAACGGAUGUUUCUUGGGAAGUAGGAUAGGGUGUUUGAACUGGUAGGGAAGCUGUGCAAGCUUCAAUCGGCCACCCACUCGCAUUAUUCCUUCCUCAUCGAGGAAUGGAUUCAAGCGCCGUAGAGGUGAGCGCCGCCCUACAGUUUCUCCUUUUUUCAGCAGCCGGAUCUCCGAUGAAAACUCGUCUUGUUGCGCCAGCUUGCAUAAUGCGAGUUUAGCUGCUUCCAGGAACUUAGGUGUGAUCGCGGAUGUAGUAACUGGUGACGAUUGUUGUGUGCGUGUCUUGUGUUUGGUAUUGUGUAUGAAUCGUGUGCAAUAUGCGAUUACAUGUAACAAUUUGGUGUAUGACGACCACAAAUCGAACCAAGGGUGAGUGGUCUGUACAUUUGCGACUACAGCACUCACCUGACGAAUUUCAAUAUCAGCUUCGGCCGCCAGCAAUGGAUUCGAAAUCGGCCAAUCAGAAGCAGGUAACCUCAACCACUCGGGACCGCAACUCCAUAUCGAACUUUUCAGCAUGUCCACUGCUGACAUCCCACGAGAUACCAGGUCGGCGGGAUUUGUUGAGCCGGGAAUGUGUUUCCACUGACGAGGAUGUGAAUAGUUCUGGAUCUCAGCAACACGAUUAGCCACAAAGGUUUUCCAGGUGUUGGGUGGUGACGCAAUCCAGUUUAGCAUGACCGUGGAAUCCGACCAGAAGAACGAAUCGGUGACUUCGAUUUGCAUUGCUUGUCGAACACGAUGAUGCAGAUGAGCUCCUAACACGGCUGCGCACAGUUCCAGUCUUGGCAGCGUGACGCGUUUCAGUGGGGCCACUCGAGAUUUUGAUGCGAGCAAACUAACUCGAACGUGCCCCUGCUGGUCUUCACAACGUGCGUAAAUACAGGCACCAUACGCUACCUCUGACGCGUCUGCAAAUGUAUGGAAUUGUAUUUUGGAGUUUGAUGUGAACGGGAACCGGAUCGUCCCAUCCGAUCUUCUGCAGCCACAAUUCCUGCAUGAGCAGCUUCGCACGUAUAAUGACCGGAGCGAUCAAUCCAAGGGGAUCGAAUAUUCGGGCAAUAUUCGAUAAUAUUGAUCUCAUGGUGAUGGUGGUUGUAUCGACUGCAGCUGGUGAUUCGAAACACAACACGUCGAGUUCGGGUUUCCAUAUGAUGCCAAGAGCCUUUACCUUCUCGUUUGGCACAAACUGCAGCGAGGAUUGUGUACCGAUAUGCUCCGCUGGUAAACCGGAGAGCACUUCCAAACAAUUUGAAGUCCACUUUCGGAGUUCGAACCCGCCCUUGGAGAGCAGAUCCGAUAGUUGCUGCCGAAGGCUCCGAGCUUCAUCCACGCUGUUUGCUCCACCAAUGAAGUCGUCAACGUAGAAAUUGUGCUUAAGCGCAGGUGUGGCAAGUGGAUAAGCUGCACCUUCAUCUUCCGCAAGCUGCAACAGAGUACGAGUGGCCAAGAACGAUGAUGGAGACAAACCGUAUGUCACGGUAUUCAGCUCGUACAAUUCCAUAGGCGAUUCCGGUGAGAAUCGAAAAAAGAUGCGAACUAAACGUCGAUCAUCAGGGUGCAGGAUGAUUUGCCGAUACAUUUUUGCUAUAUCAGCAACAACAGCGAUUUUAAAUGUGCAAAAACGUAGAACGAUGUCUAUUAGUUCAUCCUGAACUAUGGGUCCAACCCGCAACGUUUCAUUCAGCGAAUAACCAGUCGACGUUUUUGCCGAACCAUCGAAAACUACUCUAACCUUUGUAGUGGUGCUUGAAGCUUUGAAAACAGGAUGAUGCGGUAAAUAAUAAGCAGCUGUAUCAUCAGUAGUAUCAGUGCUUAUAGGAGACAUGUGUCCCAGUUCUAAGUACUCCUUCAUGAAUGCUUGGUAUGCUUCUCUAAGUGCUGGAUCGCGUUCUAGUCUUCGCUCAAGAAGUUCAAACCGACGGAUGGCUUGAGCUCUGGACAGGCCGAGUUUUUCUCCGAAGUCGGGCUGUUUUGGUAGACGGACAAUAUAUCUACCUGUGUCGUCACGUUCAGUGGUUGCUUUAUAAAAUGAUUCGCAAUGCCGUUCAUCGGGUGAGUAUGCAUCAUUAACCGUUAAAUUUUCUAGUUGCCAAAAUCGUUGUAGGGAUUCUUCCAAUGAUGCCAUGCAGACGAUUGAAUAGGAAGUGGUAGGAUGGGUUUUAGAAUGCACAUUCUGAUCAGCUGUGGUACCGGUCACUACCCAACCGAAAGCACUAUUAAUCAUGACGGGUUGAUGAGGUGCGGGACGAAGCUGAGUGGCAUUCUCAAAGAAUGCAUGGUAAUGACGAGCGCCGAGAAUGAUAUCAACGGGAGCAGAUUUGUAGAACAUCGGAUCUGCUAAAUUGAUGCCAGGCGGUAUCUUCCAGUUUUUGGUGCAAACAUCGCGCGUUGGAAGAUUCGCUAUCAAAUUGUCGACCAUCAAAAACUCAGUAUUGAUCGUAAACGCUGUCACUCGAGAGGCAAUCUGGGCGUGUACGGAUUCCCGUACUGUCUUCGUAGAUUGUCCUGCUCCAACAAUGGUAACGUGUACGUUACUCUUCUUCAAAUUCAGCCGUUUGGCGAGUCGAUCGCUAAUUAGAUCCGGCUGCGAUGCGCUGUCCAACAGCGCGCGCGCAGGAUGAGCAAUUCCGAAAUUAUCAAUGAUAUUCACCAAAGCAGUUUGGAGCAAUACCUGCUCGGGUGCUUGCUGUAGUGCUGCUGCAAAUGUGC
Molecule: long non-coding RNA, 3319 nt
Organism: Anopheles stephensi (Asian malaria mosquito)
Lineage: Eukaryota; Metazoa; Arthropoda; Insecta; Diptera; Culicidae
Exons: 3
Source: RefSeq, a predicted model, not a curated record